This 121-nucleotide ribosomal RNA is filed under the name Vibrio anguillarum. Its description in RNAcentral is "partial 16S ribosomal RNA". It matches the Rfam family "Bacterial small subunit ribosomal RNA", at positions 1 to 113 of the family's 1533-position model. The record is from RNAcentral. Lineage: Bacteria; Pseudomonadati; Pseudomonadota; Gammaproteobacteria; Vibrionales; Vibrionaceae. RNAcentral also lists the same sequence under 2 other names.
UUAAUUGAAGAGUUUGAUCAUGGCUCAGAUUGAACGCUGGCGGCAGGCCUAACACAUGCAAGUCGAGCGGCAGCACAGAGGAACUUGUUCCUUGGGUGGCGAGCGGCGGACGGGUGAGUAA